CCCCCGCCCAUUUUUGGUCGAGGGUGGGGAUAGGAGAUGGGAGGUACAGUGGGAAAACAUGUAAAGCCAUUCAGAUUUAAAAGGUUUUUGAGGAGGGACAGCUGGGUGGCUCAGUUGGUCAAGCAUCUGACUUCAGUUUAGGUCAUAAUCUCAUCGUUAGUGAGUUCCAGCCCUGCGUCUGGCUCUGUGAUGACAGCUUGCAGCCUGGAGCCUGCUUUGGAUUCUGUGUCUCCCCCUCUCUCUGGCCACCUCCACUCACCCUGUCUCUCUCUCUCAAAAAUGAAUAAACAUUUAAAAAAUAUUAAAAAAAAGGUUUUUGAGGAGUGUCUGGGUGGCUCAGUCCAUUGAGCAUCCAACUUUUGAUUUUGGCUAAGAUCAUGAUCCUAGGGUUGUGGGAUCAAGCCAGCAUUGGACUCUGCGCUGAUUGUGGAGCCUGCUUAAGUUUCUCUCUCUUCCUCUGUUCCUCCCCCACUCACUCUCUCUAAAAAAAAUAAAAACUAAAAGGUUUUUAAGGAA
Molecule: long non-coding RNA, 516 nt
Organism: Neofelis nebulosa (Clouded leopard)
Lineage: Eukaryota; Metazoa; Chordata; Mammalia; Carnivora; Felidae
Exons: 2
Source: RefSeq, a predicted model, not a curated record